GACGAACGCUGGCGGUAUGCUUAACACAUGCAAGUCGAACGAGACGAGAUGGAAGUGCUUGCACGGAAAUCUUAGAAAGUGGCGAACGGGUGAGUAACGCGUGGGUAACCUGCCCUAUGGAAAGGAAUAGCCUCAGGAAACUGGGAGUAAUGCCUUAUAAUAUAAAGAAGUCGCAUGGCUUUUUUAUUAAACGCUCCGGUGCCAUAGGAUGGACCCGCGUCCCAUUAGCUAGUUGGUGAGAUAACAGCUCACCAAGGCGACGAUGGGUAACCGGUCUGAGAGGGCGAACGGUCACACUGGAACUGAAACACGGUCCAGACUCCUACGGGAGGCAGCAGUGGGGAAUAUUGCGCAAUGGGGGAAACCCUGACGCAGCAAUACCGCGUGAGUGAAGAAGGUUUUCGGAUCGUAAAGCUCUGUUAUUGGGGAAGAAAAAAAGACGGUACCCAAGAAGAAAGUCCCGGCUAACUACGUGCCAGCAGCCGCGGUAAUACGUAGGGGACAAGCGUUGUCCGGAUUUACUGGGCGUAAAGGGCACGCAGGCGGUUUUUUAAGUCAGAUGUGAAAGGUACCGGCUCAACCGGUGACAUGCAUUUGAAACUGAAAGACUUGAGUAUUGGAGAGGCAAGUGGAAUUCCUAGUGUAGCGGUGAAAUGCGUAGAUAUUAGGAGGAACACCGGUGGCGAAGGCGGCUUGCUGGACAAAUACUGACGCUGAGGUGCGAAAGCGUGGGGAGCAAACAGGAUUAGAUACCUUGGUAGUCCACGCCGUAAACGAUGAGUGUUAGGUGUUGGGGAGACUCAGUGCCGCAGCUAACGCAAUAAGCACUCCGCCUGGGGAGUACGACCGCAAGGUUGAAACUCAAAGGAAUUGACGGGGGCCCGCACAAGCGGUGGAGCAUGUGGUUUAAUUCGACGCAACGCGAAGAACCUUACCAGGGCUUGACAUCCUUAGAAUCCUGAGGAAACUCGGGAGUGCCCUUCGGGGAGCUAAGAGACAGGUGGUGCAUGGUUGUCGUCAGCUCGUGUCGUGAGAUGUUGGGUUAAGUCCCGCAACGAGCGCAACCCUUGUCUUUAGUUGCCAGCAGGUGAAGCUGGGCACUCUAGAGAGACUGCCGGGGAUAACUCGGAGGAAGGUGGGGAUGACGUCAAAUCAUCAUGCCCCUUAUGUUCUGGGCUACACACGUGCUACAAUGGCUGGUACAACGGGAAGCGAAGGAGUAAUCCGGAGCAAAUCCUAAAAGCCAGUCUCAGUUCGGAUUGUGGGCUGCAACUCGCCCACAUGAAGCUGGAGUUGCUAGUAAUCGUGGAUCAGAAUGCCGCGGUGAAUGCGUUCCCGGGUCUUGUACACACCGCCCGUCACACCAUGGGAGCUCAGGGCACCCGAAGUCAGUGGGCUAACCGAAAGGGAGCAGCUGCCGAAGGUGGAAUGAGUGACUGGGGUG
This 1444-nucleotide ribosomal RNA is filed under the name uncultured bacterium. RNAcentral describes it as "bacterial SSU rRNA". It matches the Rfam family "Bacterial small subunit ribosomal RNA". The record is from RNAcentral.